AAAGUAAGACUACAAGCUGAAGAAUGGGCAAA
This 32-nucleotide small RNA is filed under the name Arabidopsis thaliana (thale cress). Its description in RNAcentral is "ATSL115590". The record is from RNAcentral. Lineage: Eukaryota; Viridiplantae; Streptophyta; Magnoliopsida; Brassicales; Brassicaceae.